AUUCUUUUAUCAGCAUAUACAUUGGAAUAUGAGCUUUUUUUAUUCUUAAAGAUAAGAGCAAGAAAGAGAUUUCAUCAAGUAAGUAUAUAUGUUUAUGCGAAUGAUCCAUACCCAUACGCGUUUUACGUAUUUGUUAGUGAGAAAGGACGUGGGAAUGCAUAUUCGGUACUGAAAUCACCUCAGAUGCAAAAGCGAGAAAAAUAAUAUGCUUCUAUGGGAUUAUUCACAAUAGCAUGGUUCACUCAGAGAUUCUGGUUUUCUGCUAAUUUAUUCUCUUUUUCCUGAGAACCAUACUGAAAGUGACUACUUCGGAUGCGUUAAAAUUUCUUGGGGUGGCAUAAUAGUACUCACUUAGCUUGCACAUGUUCAGGUUGUCGGGAACUUAUUGGCUUUGAACCUUGGCGUCCCUCUUAGCAAGAGUAUCAGAAUGAAGGAACAACACCAUAUCCUGUGUCGUACAUUAGCAUUGUGUUGAAUCUGUGGUCCUCGUCUUCGAUCUCCCUCCUCUUUG
This is a non-coding RNA of Camelina sativa (false flax), 511 nucleotides long. The record is from RefSeq and is a predicted model, not a curated record. Lineage: Eukaryota; Viridiplantae; Streptophyta; Magnoliopsida; Brassicales; Brassicaceae.